CACACCUGCUUUCUUUUUCCAAGGAACACCUUUGCCUUUUUUAGCAUUUCCUUUAGCAUGGUUCACAUAAUGAGCACUCUCAGGUGUCUCAUGCUUCAUCCUCUCCUCUUUUUGCACGCACAUGGUCAGAAGCUCAUUAAUUGAUCAUUUCUCUUUAUGUGUGGUAUAAGAUAUUACAAAUGGUCUAUAUUCUGGAGGAAGAGAGUUGAGAAUGAAAUGCACUAGAAAUGAUUCAGAAAUCUCAACUUCUAGGUGUUAGAAUUUGAUGCUUCGAGAUUUGAUCCACAAUAAACCC
RNAcentral lists this long non-coding RNA (295 nucleotides) under Elaeis guineensis (African oil palm). Its description in RNAcentral is "long non-coding RNA (EGUI_LNC081652)". The record is from RNAcentral. Lineage: Eukaryota; Viridiplantae; Streptophyta; Magnoliopsida; Arecales; Arecaceae.